RNA transcript from Neofelis nebulosa (Clouded leopard), 5786 nucleotides. It is a transcript of the gene named CASP2 and RIPK1 domain containing adaptor with death domain, with no coding region annotated. The record is from RefSeq and is a predicted model, not a curated record. The transcript has 5 exons. NCBI's taxonomy places the organism in Eukaryota, Metazoa, Chordata, Mammalia, Carnivora, Felidae.
GGAGAGAUGGAGGCUAGAGACAAGCAGGUGCUUCGCUCCCUUCGCCUGGAGCUGGGUGCCGAGGUACUGGUGGAGGGACUGGUUCUUCAAUAUCUUUACCAGGAAGGAGUCUUGACGGAAAACCAUGUUCAGGAAAUCAAAGCUCAAGCCACAGGCCUCCGGAAAACAAUGCUGCUGCUGGAUAUCCUACCUUCCAGAGGUCCUAAAGCAUUUGAUGCAUUCCUAGAGUCCCUGCAGGAAUUUCCCUGGGUUAGGGAGAAGCUGGAGAAGGCAAGGGAAGAAGCCAUAACUGAGCUGCCUGCAGAUGACCGGAUGACCGGUAUCCCCCUACACAUCCUCAACAGCUCCCCAUCCGACCAGCAGAUUAACCAGCUGGCGCAAAGGCUGGGCCCUGAGUGGGAGCCCGUGGUGCUGUCUCUGGGACUGUCCCAGACGGAUAUCUACCGCUGUAAGGCCAACCACCCCCACAACGUGCAGUCACAGAUGGUGGAGGCCUUCGUCCGCUGGCGGCAGCGCUAUGGGAAGCAGGCCACCUUCCGGAGCUUGCAGAGAGGCCUUCAGGCCGUGGAGGUGGACCCCUCGGUGCUCCAGCACAUGUUGGAAUAAUGGUGUCUCCCUCCAUCCACCCAUGGGGAGCAUGUCCCCAAGUUGCAUGUGCAGAAUCCUGACUUUCUCCCAGGGCAGUUGAGGGUCUUAGGAGGUGGAGCCUUUGGGAGGUGAUGAGGUCACAAGCGUGAAGCCCUCUUGAAGAGACCCCACAGAGCUUCCUGGCUUCUUGUGCUUAGCGAGGAUACAGUGAGAAAGCCCCAGCUCUGAACCAGAAGAGGACCUUCACUAGAACGUGACCAUGCUGGUGGUGCCUUGGUCUUGAACUUCCCAGCUAUCAGAAUUGUGAGCACUUCUAGGAGAUGUAUUGAUUUAAUCAGGACUUUGCUGAUACCACAGUCUUUGGCAUGACUUAUUGGCUCAUUGCUGAUCCCAGGAAGAGACCAAGUGUUCACAAAUGAAGUUUUCAAUAUUUGUGGAAAGAGGGAGUCAACGGAUGCUGGGUCUAAAUGUUCCUGCACUCCACAUCCUUGAUGCUGAGCAGUUCCCGGGGACAGCUGCAGCUGCUGAAGCACAGCGUCCCAGGCUCCACUGAGGGGACCUGCUGUAGUCAUCAGCACAGAAAGAACUCUCCAGAACAGGUGGCCCAGGAUAUGCUUCCUUUCCCCCUACCUCAUUACAGGCUGCAUAGAGACUGUGUCCUGGUACUUACUUAAGGCAAUGCUAGAACACGUCCCCUUAGCUAAAUUCCUGCUCCAUCUCAAUGGACUCAGUCUGCCAGAGCACCACAUUCACAUGCCCUGAGCAGAGGGUGGGAGGAGAGAAAAGGAGAGGAAGCAGCACUGAUGGAGCAUAUGACCCAGGCACAUGGAGGGUGAUCUCAACUAAGUUUCGUGUCAUUUCAUCCUCUGACAACCUUAGGAGCCAGGAUUUUAGCCUCACUUCUCUUAUUUUACAGGUCAGGAACCUGAUGCUCCAGGAAGUUAGCUAACCUGGCCGAGGUCAUUCACUAAGAUACAUAGCAAUGCCAAAAUCUGAACUCAGGUCUGCCUGAGUUGUUGUUGUUGUGGUGGUGGUGGUGGUGGUGGUGGUUGUUGUUGUUGUUGUUGUUGUUUAUAACCUCCUGAGGUACAGCCAAGGGCCCAGAAUGGCCCUGUCAGCUUCAUAUUAAACAUGUCUCCAGUCCACCUGCUGGGUUUUUGGUGUCAGUGCCUUUCUCCUGUCAUUAUUACAGAAAUUAAGUGAGUGAUGUUCAUAAAAUAGAUGUUCUUUAAUAUCUCCUGCUGCGCCAACCAUCAAGUCAUGUGAUGUGGCACAGCAAAGUGAGGUUGUGGUUAUUGCCCUGUGGGAUUUCAUCAAAAGCCAAGAUAAUCCUGGCUGAGACAGUCUGCAGGCAGGGCACAGCUUGGGUUUGAAUAGAGCAUUUGUCUCAUUGGCUGAAGGAAAAGGACUCUAUUCAUAACCUUCUCCUGAUAGCCUUUGCGCGAGAAAGUGUAGGAAAAGCCAGAUUCUCAGCAAGAAGGGGCCUGUUCCCUUUCUCUGAGCAUGAGGAUUCCACAUUCCAUUCCUGGCAACCAUGAUUUAGAUAAAUGGUUUAAAUUUUCUUUUUCCCACAAUUAUGGGGGCAGUACUAAGAAGUUAUCAUCAUAUCUAAGUGUUCUGGGGAGUAAGUAUUCUUACUUGAUCUAGAUAAAGGAAAUCUGAGCUCCUCCUUGACAUCACUAAAGAAUCUCAUUGCUCUCUGUCCUCACCCUAAAGCUUUCCUUCUGUCUCCAAGGAGUAGACGCCAAAACUGUUUCCAAAGUGAAAUGUCACUAGCCCACUCUACCCUCUGAGGAACAAUCGCCCUGCCCUUUAUAGCUGACUGUGACUGCCAUCCAGCCUUCCAAACAGCUUAUCUUUUUAAAUCGCUCACAGGAUUGGGACAUGAUCUGCCAUCUGAAUUUGUUAAUUCCAGCAAAGAUUAUGUGAAGUCAAUAUUGGUCAACCUGAAGUUUGCAACAUGUAACAAUCUGAGGAAUUCCCUUCCUGGUCCCACCGACUGUGACCUAAACAGAUCCCCAAACAUGGUGGCCUCCCUUGCAGUACAGGGCUUGCUCAGGCAGUAAUGGCCCCAGUAUUUAAGAUUCAUAGUGAGUGCUUCAGGCACAAACUCAUGUGUGUGAGUCUGUACUGCUCCAGUCUCCAGGUACAGUUGGCACUUCUGUGAACCUCUUCCUUCCCAUGUCCAGGCUGUUGGCAUCCCACAUCAAGCCACUAUGGUUUCCUCUUCUUUCCCUAGGCUCUACAUCUCACAUGCAACCUCAGACUUUUCUGCUCUUCCUUGAUUCAUUCAUUCAUUCAUUCAUUCAACAAAUAAGUUUUUGUAGUACCUACAAUGUACCAAGCACUGGUGAAGGAUAUCAUAGUGAACUAAACAAGCAUAUAUCCUGUCCUCAUGGAGCUUACAAUCCAGUGAAGAGUUAUAAGCUACAACAAAUGAUAAGAAGAAAAAGAUCAAUGAGCUAUGAGAGCAUACUGAAAGGAGGCCCACUCUCACUUGGGGGUCAGAAGGUUCCUAUGAGGAUGCUCUGGUCCCCUACUCUCUGCUUCAUUACCUCAGGCUUGGUCCUUGAGCUCUGUCAUCGGUUAGCCUUCCAUUUUGGUGGCUCUGUUGGACCAUUUAUUUUGCUUUUGAGUUUUCCUCUCCAAGAUGUCACCUUUCAGUAAUGCCCCUUUAUUCAAUGAACCACAGUCAAAGAUAACAGGGCAAAAGCUAUCAACGAUUACUUUACAAAUGCUAGUCAAUGACUAUGGAAACAGUGAGAAAGAGGUUGGCAUGAGACCCAAUAGCUUGUAACCUGAAAAUAUUACUGUAAAUUCUGUGUGCCGGUUCUACAGCACUGGUAAUGAGGUGCCAUUUCUUGUGACCUGGCCCUUCACCACACUCGGACAGCAUAUACUGUCCAGGCCCUAUAUGUAGGACCCCAAUAUUCUAAGACCUCAAUAUUAUUUCAUUUGCCUCUAGUUUGCCUAGAACUUGUUUCAUUUUUCCACUAAUUCAAAAAAAUAUUUAAGCCAAUGUGUCAGGUGCUGGGGCAGUGAGGUGACAAGACAUGAACAGCACCUUGUUCAAUGUAGCUUGUGUCCAUUGUUGCCAAGUUAAAUGAACAUAUCAGGACGUCAGUGGAGAUGCUGCCCAUUGUUGGUGAAGGGGCAACAGUCAUACUCAAGGCAACUCACGUGGUCCAGACUUUACAAAGCCACAGUCCGCGCUGCCAGCUUAGGGGAUUGGCAAGAACUUCCAGAUCUUUCCACUUGCUCUUCAGUCACUGAUUAUGUCAUUUUUACUUCCAUUGAAGUAAUACAACCCUAUAAAGAGUCAGAUAGUCUUACAUGACUGAUUACAAAGAACAUCCCUUGACCAUCCACUUCCCUCAUUUAAAUUUAGUCCACUAGGGAACCCACUUCAAUUUAUUUAGCUGUUUCAUUUCAGAUCCACUAUAUCUCUUAAUAGCUGCUACCCCUUGAUUUUUUAUGACAAUUAUGUUGAGAUAUAAUUCAUAUACCAUGAAAUUUACCCUUUUAAAUAAUUGUACAAUUCAUUGAUUUUUAAAAAUAUAUUCAUGGAGUUAUGCAACCAUCACCACUAUGUAAUUUUAGAACAUUUUCAAUAUCCUAAAAAAAACAAAACACCAAACACACUAACAGCCACUCUCCAUGUCCUCUGUUCCCAGCCUUGGAAACCACUAAUCUACUUACCAUCUCAUGGAUUUGCUUUUUACGGACAUUUCAUUAAUGGGAUCAUGCAAUAUAUGGCCUUUUGUGUCUGGCUUCUUUCACUUAGAGUAAUGUUUUCAGAGUUCAUCCAUGUUGCAGCAUGUGUCAGUAAUUUAUUCCUUUCUGUAAGCUGAGUGAUGCUCCAUUGAAAGGAUAUACCACUUUUUUGUUUAUCCAUUCAACAGUUGAUGGACACUGGGGUUGUUUCUACUUUCUGGCUAUUAUGAAGGAAGCUGCUACGAACAUCCGUGUACAAGUUUUUGUGUGGAUAUAUUUUGUCAAUUCUCUUGGGUACAGACCUAGGAGUGGAAUUGCUGAGUCACUGAUUUUUCAAGCUUUGGGCAUUAUUUACUGGCUUCUCACAUGGAGUCACUAUGGAGACAUCUUACCUUCCAUUGCUACCUCUCUUCCACAUACACACUUCCCAUCCUUCAUUCUUCCAAUGUUUAUAUCAUAAUUUUGAUUGGAUCAGAAUUAAUAUGAUAAGAUAAAUGUUGAACUACGACUACUUUUCCUUAAGGAACUUUUGAUUUUACCUGGAGUUAUUGGUCUUAUUUAUUUUCUAUGUAUCUAUCACUAAUUCAUCCUUAUUUCAUCUCCUCUCAAAAUGUUCAUAUGCAUUAGGCAUUCUAUCAGUUUUGUCCUCCCAGGUUUUUCUCAGAGUCUUCUGAUUUGCUCCAGUCUAGACUAGUUGUUCUUUAGACCUGCAGUAUGGUUGUUAUCACGAGAUUUCCCUUCACCAACACGCAGGGGGUUUCUUUCACCUCUCUCUUGUUGGGUUCCUUUUGUCCUAGAUCCCAUGUCUUUCUCGUGUUUCAUUCCCCUAUUUUUGUGGAAUAGCUCCUCCAGUUGCAUCCUGAGAACACUGCAUAGUGGGUAUGUUGUUUGAGAACUUACCUAUCUGAAAAGGCUUUACAUUAUUUAAUUAUUGCUUUUUUUGAUAUUAAUUUUUGCUAGUUUCAUUUGACAUAAAAUUCUAUAAAAUUCACUUACUUGCAGAUUUUUUUUCUAGUUUCCUUAGUUGCUGUUGAAAAGAUCGAAGCCAUUCUGAUUUUUUUUUUUUAAUUUAACCAGUUUCUUAUUCUCUCAAAGCUUUUAGGGUUUUCUCUUUGACUCCAAUAUUCUUAAAUAUGAUAUAGUUUGACUAAUAUAUUUUAUUCAUUUUGCUGGACACGUGAUAGGCCCCUUUUAUCUGACAAUAGCCUUCAAUACUAAGAAUUUUCUUGAAUUAUUUAUUUAGUGAUUUUAUUUCCUCCAUUUUUUAAUUUUUUCCUCUUUCCAUGACUCAUAUUAUUUGGAUAUUGAGCUUCCUGAUUUGGUCCUCAGAUAUUCUGAUCUCUUCUGUCCUGUUUUCUGUCAUUUUGUCAUCCUUUGUAAUGUUUUGUCAAAUUUUCCUUCCAACCUUUUAAUUGGAUUUUUAGUUUAUACCAUUUUUUAAAUUUCUAAGACUUUUUUGUUUUAUGAAUUCACCUUUUAAAACA